This 402-nucleotide ribosomal RNA is filed under the name bacterium. RNAcentral describes it as "partial 16S ribosomal RNA". It matches the Rfam family "Bacterial small subunit ribosomal RNA", at positions 355 to 776 of the family's 1533-position model. The record is from RNAcentral.
UGGGGAAUAUUGCACAAUGGGGAAAACCUGAUGCAGCGACGCCGCGUGAAAGAAGAAGGGAUUCGUAUCGGAAAGGUCCGGCCUAUGGGAAGAAAAAGGCAGUACCCAAGAAGAAAACUCCCGCUAAAAACGUGCCAGCAACCGCGGGAAUACGUAUGGAGCGAGCGUUGUCCGGAAUUAUUGGGCGUAAAAGGGACGCAGGCGGUUUAAUAAGUCGAAUGUUAAAGAUCGGGGCUCAACCCCGUAAAGCAUUGGAAACUGAUAAACUUGAGUAGUGGAGAGGAAAGUGGAAUUCCUAGUGUAGUGGUGAAAUACGUAGAUAUUAGGAGGAAUACCAGUAGCGAAGGCGACUUUCUGGACACAAACUGACGCUGAGGUACGAAAGCGUGGGGAGCAAACAGG